Molecule: ribosomal RNA, 840 nt
Filed under: Xanthoparmelia camtschadalis
Lineage: Eukaryota; Fungi; Ascomycota; Lecanoromycetes; Lecanorales; Parmeliaceae
Description: eukaryotic LSU rRNA
Rfam family: Eukaryotic large subunit ribosomal RNA
Source: RNAcentral
CAGUAACGGCGAGUGAAGCGGCAACAGCUCAAAUUUGAAAUCUGGCUCCUUCGGGGUCCGAAUUGUAAUUUGCAGAGAGUGCUUCGGGCGAGACCUCGGUCUAAGUCCAUUGGAACAUGGUGUCAUAGAGGGUGAGAAUCCCGUAUGCGACCGUGGCUCGAGCCCAUGUGAAGCCUCUUCGACGAGUCGAGUUGUUUGGGAAUGCAGCUCAAAAUGGGUGGUAAAUUUCAUCUAAAGCUAAAUACUGGCUGGAGACCGAUAGCGCACAAGUAGAGUGAUCGAAAGAUGAAAAGCACUUUGGAAAGAGAGUCAAACAGUACGUGAAAUUGUUGAAAGGGAAGCGCUUGCAACCAGACCUGCCCGUAGGCGAUCAGCCGCUGUUCUCAGCGGUGUACUCGCUCUGCGAUCAGGCCAGCAUCGGUUUCGGCGGUCGGAUAAAGGCCUUGGGAAUGUAGCUUCCCUUCGGGGGAGUCUUAUAGCCCUCGGUGUAAUGCGGCCAGCUGGGACCGAGGACCGCGCUUCGGCUAGGAUGCUGGCGUAAUGGUUGUAAGCGACCCGUCUUGAAACACGGACCAAGGAGUCUAACAUCUAUGCGAGUGUUUGGGUGUCAAACCCAUACGCGGAAUGAAAGUGAACGGAGGUGAGAACCCUUAAGGGCGCAUCAUCGACCGAUCCAGAUGUCUUCGGAUGGAUUUGAGUAUGAGCAUAGCUGUUGGGACCCGAAAGAUGGUGAACUAUGCCUGAAUAGGGUGAAGCCAGAGGAAACUCUGGUGGAGGCUCGCAGCGGUUCUGACGUGCAAAUCGAUCGUCAAAUUUGGGUAUAGGGGCGAAAGACUAAUC